RNAcentral lists this transfer RNA (71 nucleotides) under Patescibacteria group bacterium. Its description in RNAcentral is "tRNA-Ala". It matches the Rfam family "tRNA". Rfam says of the family: Transfer RNA (tRNA) molecules are approximately 80 nucleotides in length. Their secondary structure includes four short double-helical elements and three loops (D, anti-codon, and T loops). The record is from RNAcentral. RNAcentral also lists the same sequence under 1 other name.
GGGCCUAUGGUUCAACGGUAGAAUGUGGCAUUCGCAUUGCCAAGAUCCGAGUUCAAUUCUCGGUAGGUCCA